Molecule: ribosomal RNA, 486 nt
Filed under: uncultured bacterium
Lineage: Bacteria
Description: bacterial SSU rRNA
Rfam family: Bacterial small subunit ribosomal RNA
Source: RNAcentral
GCGUCUUAAGCAUGCAAGUCGAACGGCAAGAGGUAGCAAUACCUCCUAGAGUGGCGGACUGGUGAGUAACACGUGGGUGACAUACCCUUCAGGUGGGGGAUAGCUAUUAGAAAUAGUAGAUAAUACCGAAUACGAGCACAGGGGUUAGAGAUCUGUGAGGAAAGGAGCUAAGGCUCCGCUGAAGGAAUGGCCUGCGGCCCAUUAGCUAGUUGGUGAGGUAAGAGCCCACCAAGGCGAUGAUGGGUAUCCGGCCUUAGAGGGUGAACGGACACAUUGGGACUGAGAUACGGCCCAGACUCCUACGGGAGGCAGCAGCUAAGAAUAUUCCGCAAUGGACGAAAGUCUGACGGAGCGACGCCGCGUGGAUGAAGAAAGCCGGAAGGUUGUAAAAUCCUUUUGAAACUGAAGAAUAAGCGUUGUAGGGAAUGACAGCGUGGUGACAGUAGGUUUUGAAUAAGCAACGGCUAAUUACGUGCCAGCAGCCGC